GAUGAACGCUAGCGGCAGGCUUAAUACAUGCAAGUCGUGGGGCAGCAUGGGGUAGCAAUACUCUGAUGGCGACCGGCAAACGGGUGCGGAACACGUACGCAACCUUCCCAAAACCCUGGUGAAUAGCCCUCCGAAAGGAGGAUUAAUACACCGUAACAUAACGAAGUGGCAUCACUUUGUUAUUAUAGCUCCGGCGGUUUUGGAUGGGCGUGCGCCUGAUUAGGUAGUUGGCGGGGUAACGGCCCACCAAGCCUACGAUCAGUAACUAGUGUGAGAGCACGACCAGUCACACGGGCACUGAGACACGGGCCCGACUCCUACGGGAGGCAGCAGUAAGGAAUAUUGGUCAAUGGACGCAAGUCUGAACCAGCCAUGCCGCGUGAAGGAUGAAGGUCCUCUGGGAUUGUAAACUUCUUUUAUCUGGGCGAAAAAAAGGGCUUUCUAGCUCACCUUGACGGGUACCCUAGAAGGAAUAAAGCACCGGCUAACUCCGUGCCAGCAGCCGCGG
This 508-nucleotide ribosomal RNA is filed under the name uncultured bacterium. RNAcentral describes it as "bacterial SSU rRNA". It matches the Rfam family "Bacterial small subunit ribosomal RNA", at positions 28 to 520 of the family's 1533-position model. The record is from RNAcentral.